UGGGGAAUAUUGGGGCAAUGGGGGAAACCCUGACCCCAGCAACGCCGCGUGAAGGAAGAAGGCCUUCGGGUUGGUAAACAUUCUUUUAUCCAGGGAGCGAAGGAAGUGACGGUACCUGGAGAAAAGCAACGGCUAACUACGUGCCAGCAGCCGCGGUAAUACGUAGGUUGCGAGCGUUGUCCGGAUUUACUGGGUGUAAAGGGCGUGUAGGCGGAGAAGCAAGUUGGGAGUGAAAUCUAUGGGCUCAACCCAUAAACUGCUCUCAAAACUGUUUCCCUUGAGUAUCGGAGAGGCAAGCGGAAUUCCUAGUGUAGCGGUGAAAUGCGUAGAUAUUAGGAGGAACACCAGUGGCGAAGGCGGCUUGCUGGACGACAACUGACGCUGAGGCGCGAAAGCGUGGGGAGCAAACAGGAUUAGAUACC
RNAcentral lists this ribosomal RNA (422 nucleotides) under uncultured bacterium. RNAcentral's name for it is "bacterial SSU rRNA". It matches the Rfam family "Bacterial small subunit ribosomal RNA", at positions 355 to 786 of the family's 1533-position model. The record is from RNAcentral.